Molecule: ribosomal RNA, 403 nt
Filed under: Verrucomicrobiota bacterium
Lineage: Bacteria; Pseudomonadati; Verrucomicrobiota
Description: Verrucomicrobia bacterium partial 16S ribosomal RNA
Rfam family: Bacterial small subunit ribosomal RNA
Source: RNAcentral
UGGGGAAUAUUGCACAAUGGAGGGAACUCUGAUGCAGCGACGCCGCGUGAACGAAGAAGGCUUUCGAGUCGUAAAGUUCUUUUAUAUGGGAAGAUAAUGACGGUACCAUUAGAAAAAGCCCCGGCUAACUACGUGCCAGCAGCCGCGGUAAUACGUAGGGGGCUAGCGUUGUCCGGAAUCACUGGGCGUAAAGGGUUCGCAGGCGGAAAUGCAAGUCAGGUGUAAAAGGCAGUAGCUUAACUACUGUAAGCAUUUGAAACUGCAUAUCUUGAGAAGAGUAGAGGUAAGUGGAAUUUUUAGUGUAGCGGUGAAAUGCGUAGAUAUUAAAAAGAAUACCGGUGGCGAAGGCGACUUACUGGGCUCAUUCUGACGCUGAGGAACGAAAGCGUGGGUAGCAAACAGG